Molecule: ribosomal RNA, 253 nt
Filed under: uncultured bacterium
Lineage: Bacteria
Description: partial 16S ribosomal RNA
Rfam family: Bacterial small subunit ribosomal RNA
Source: RNAcentral
UACGUAGGGUGCGAGCGUUAAUCGGAAUUACUGGGCGUAAAGCGUGCGCAGGCGGUGAUGUAAGACCGAUGUGAAAUCCCCGGGCUUAACCUGGGGACUGCAUUGGUGACUGCAUUGCUGGAGUAUGGCAGAGGGGGGUGGAAUUCCACGUGUAGCAGUGAAAUGCGUAGAGAUGUGGAGGAACACCGAUGGCGAAGGCAGCCCCCUGGGCCAAUACUGACGCUCAUGCACGAAAGCGUGGGGAGCAAACAGG